UACGUAGGGACCAAGCGUUGUUCGGAUUUACUGGGCGUAAAGGGCGCGUAGGCGGCAUGACAAGUCACUUGUGAAAUCUCCGGGCUUAACUCGGAAAGGUCAACUGAUACUGCAGGGCUAGAGUGCGGAAGGGGCAACUGGAAUUCUCGGUGUAGCGGUGAAAUGCGUAGAUAUCUGCAGGAACACCCGUGGCGAAAGCGGCGCGCUGGAUCACAACUGACGCUGAGGAACGAAAGCUAGGGGAGCAAACAGG
This 253-nucleotide ribosomal RNA is filed under the name uncultured prokaryote. RNAcentral describes it as "partial 16S ribosomal RNA". It matches the Rfam family "Bacterial small subunit ribosomal RNA", at positions 524 to 776 of the family's 1533-position model. The record is from RNAcentral.